CUGCCAGCAGCCAGAGAGGCAGGAGCUCUCUCAGCCAUGAUGCAAGAAGCAGCAAGAACCGCAGCUACAUGAAGCUGCCAGAGGCCCCACGAGUGUGAACAUGCCUGUGAUGGCCCUUACCAGCCAGUAGAAGUCCCUCUGUGUGAACAAAACCCUAAGGCCACACAUUAAUGUACAAGUGAGGGACCAAAUCCUCCUACCUUCAGUUGCAACCAUCACCCCUCAAGAAGGCCUGGCCCUGCAUAGGCAUGUGUGACAGCUGGCAAUAAAUCCAGAAGGUCUGAUGUCCAAGUUCCCUGUUUGGACUGCUCCAUCACUUCUUUCUUUAGGGCCUGAUCCAUAGCUCAUUGAAAUGAAUAGAAAGACUCUCAUUUCAGUGGAUGUAGGACUAGGCACUCAGUUGCUGAAAAGUCUUGGAGUCUUUCCAAAAGGUAUGAGUUAUUCGUGUGAGGAAAGCUUCUUGUUCUGCCGCCCAUACCAUACCUAAGAUAUCUAGAGAAAAAGGACUGCAGUGUCUGGAACUGUUAUCCUGUCACAGUUCACUGACCGCCCCACUGCUUUUCCCCACCCCCCCCGCACCCACCCCUUCUGCAGUAGGAGUGAGACCCCUGAACGUGCCAGCCUGCAAUGAAUCUGGCUGCAGCCCUUCUUCCAUCUCCUCCAAGCUCUUCACAGACGUGCUGUCCUCCUGUCCCACCAUGAGCUAGGCCCAUGGCUUCCAGUUCAGUCUCCUCCUGCUACUGGCCCAGGUGGUUGUUCAUCAGUCCUGGAGGAAGAAUCUGGAUAGGAGUAUGUGAGGGCUGAGAAGGGGGGCAGUUUCCAUUAAACUCUUUUCCAUUUCUUU
This is a long non-coding RNA of Alligator sinensis (Chinese alligator), 844 nucleotides long. RefSeq lists it as uncharacterized. The record is from RefSeq and is a predicted model, not a curated record. The transcript has 3 exons. NCBI's taxonomy places the organism in Eukaryota, Metazoa, Chordata, Crocodylia, Alligatoridae.